UGGGGAAUAUUGCACAAUGGGCGCAAGCCUGAUGCAGCAACGCCGCGUGAGGGAUGACGGCCUUCGGGUUGUAAACCUCUUUUAGUAGGGAAGAAGCGAAAGUGACGGUACCUGCAGAAAAAGCACCGGCUAACUACGUGCCAGCAGCCGCGGUAAUACGUAGGGUGCGAGCGUUGUCCGGAAUUAUUGGGCGUAAAGAGCUCGUAGGCGGUCUGUCGCGUCUGCUGUGAAAACCCGAGGCUCAACCUCGGGCCUGCAGUGGGUACGGGCAGACUAGAGUGCGGUAGGGGAGAAUGGAAUUCCUGGUGUAGCGGUGGAAUGCGCAGAUAUCAGGAGGAACACCGAUGGCGAAGGCAGUUCUCUGGGCCGUAACUGACGCUGAGGAGCGAAAGCGUGGGGAGCGAACAGGAUUAGAUACCCUGGUAGUCCACGCCGUAAAACGUUGGGCGCUAGAUGUGGGGACCAUUCCACGGUUUCCGUGUCGCAGCUAACGCAUUAAGCGCCCCGCCUGGGGAGUACGGCCGCAAGGCUAAAACU
RNAcentral lists this ribosomal RNA (537 nucleotides) under uncultured bacterium. Its description in RNAcentral is "partial 16S ribosomal RNA". It matches the Rfam family "Bacterial small subunit ribosomal RNA", at positions 355 to 901 of the family's 1533-position model. The record is from RNAcentral.